This 1579-nucleotide long non-coding RNA is filed under the name Solanum tuberosum (potato). Its description in RNAcentral is "long non-coding RNA (STUB_LNC006903)". The record is from RNAcentral. Lineage: Eukaryota; Viridiplantae; Streptophyta; Magnoliopsida; Solanales; Solanaceae.
AGGAAAAGAAAAAUGAUAAAAUAACAGGUAUCUUCAUGAAACUGUCAAAGGACAUUCAGCAAGGUUUGAUCUAUUCCAAAACCACUAGGCAGGAACCUAUUCCUAAGCCUUUUUGCAUCUCUUCCAGCUCCAGUUUUACAUUAAUAUAUAUAUAUAUAUAUAUAUCAAAACUGAAACUUCCACCAAGUCCUAGACUUUGAAAACUGGUAAAGCUGCCCUAUUCCAAAUCUCGUCGACAUUGGAUGUCACAUACUAGAAUUCUCUUUCAAAAUUAUUUUGGCUUCAAUACAGAAAAGAGAAACAAAAGGAACAUCACCCAGCACUACUGCUUCAUCCUAACUCAAAUUAGGUUGCAUAUUGUUUCUCUCACUAACUAAAUCUUAUCCUAGUUCAUCCAUCAAUUAUAUCAGGUGAUAAAGCGAAGUCACUAUUUUUCUCACUAUAUCCUAAAAGAAACUGAGGAUCACUCAGGCACUCAAACUCCACUGAAGUCAACGAUUGAUGCAACAUUAACAAACACAAACUCCACUGAAGUCAACGAUUGAUGCAACAUUAACAAACACAAACUCCACUGAAGUCAACGAUUGAUGCAACAUUAACAAACACAAACUCCACUGAAGUCAACGAUUGAUGCAACAUUAACAAACACAAACUCCACUGAAGUCAACGAUUGAUGCAACAUUAACAAACACAAACUCCACUGAAGUCAACGAUUGAUGCAACAUUAACAAACACAAACUCCACUGAAGUCAACGAUUGAUGCAACAUUAACAAACACAAACUCCACUGAAGUCAACGAUUGAUGCAACAUUAACAAACACAAACUCCACUGAAGUCAACGAUUGAUGCAACAUUAACAAACACAAACUCCACUGAAGUCAACGAUUGAUGCAACAUUAACAAACACAAACUCCACUGAAGUCAACGAUUGAUGCAACAUUAACAAACACAAACUCCACUGAAGUCAACGAUUGAUGCAACAUUAACAAACACAAACUCCACUGAAGUCAACGAUUGAUGCAACAUUAACAAACACAAACUCCACUGAAGUCAACGAUUGAUGCAACAUUAACAAACACAAACUCCACUGAAGUCAACGAUUGAUGCAACAUUAACAAACACAAACUCCACUGAAGUCAACGAUUGAUGCAACAUUAACAAACACAAACUCCACUGAAGUCAACGAUUGAUGCAACAUUAACAAACACAAACUCCACUGAAGUCAACGAUUGAUGCAACAUUAACAAACACAAACUCCACUGAAGUCAACGAUUGAUGCAACAUUAACAAACACAAACUCCACUGAAGUCAACGAUUGAUGCAACAUUAACAAACACAAACUCCACUGAAGUCAACGAUUGAUGCAACAUUAACAAGAGGCCAUCUGAACAAACAGAGGAAGAAAUUUGGAAUAUUUUGAAUUACAGUUUGGAAUACAUCAAAAUAUGCAAGUUUCAUGUUGAGCACAUACUACCACACCUCAAAGCAAGUGUACUACUCCCUCUGUCCCAAUUAAUGUGGUACCACUUUCAUUUUUAGUCCAUCCCAAAAAGAAUGUAAUAUUUCUAUAAUAAUAGAG